RNAcentral lists this ribosomal RNA (729 nucleotides) under uncultured bacterium. RNAcentral's name for it is "bacterial SSU rRNA". It matches the Rfam family "Bacterial small subunit ribosomal RNA", at positions 28 to 753 of the family's 1533-position model. The record is from RNAcentral.
AUUGAACGCUGGCGGAAUGCUUUACACAUGCAAGUCGAGCGGCAGCGCGGGGGCAACCCUGGCGGCGAGCGGCGAACGGGGUGAGUAAUGCAUCGGAACGUACCCAGUAAUGGGGGAUAACUGUCCGAAAGGACAGCUAAUACCGCAUACGCCCUGAGGGGGGAAAGCGGGGGAUCGCAAGACCUCGCGUUAUUGGAGCGGCCGAUGUCGGAUUAGCUAGUUGGUGGGGUAAAGGCCUACCAAGGCGACGAUCCGUAGCUGGUCUGAGAGGACGACCAGCCACACUGGAACUGAGACACGGUCCAGACUCCUACGGGAGGCAGCAGUGGGGAAUUUUGGACAAUGGGGCAACCCUGAUCCAGCCAUUCCGCGUGAGUGAAGAAGGCCUCGGGUUGUAAAGCUCUUUCGGCAGGGAAGAAAAGGCGGGCUCUAACAUAGCCUGUUCAUGACGGUACCUGAAGAAGAAGCACCGGCUAACUACGUGCCAGCAGCCGCGGUAAUACGUAGGGUGCGAGCGUUAAUCGGAAUUACUGGGCGUAAAGCGUGCGCAGGCGGUUUUGUAAGACAGGUGUGAAAUCCCGGCGUUAACCUGGGAACUGCGCUUGUGACUGCAAGACUGGAGUGCGGCAGAGGGGGUGGAAUACCACGUGUAGCAGUGAACUGCGUAGAGAUGUGGAGGAACACCGAUGGCGAAGGCAGCCCCCUGGGGUCGACACUGACGCUCAUGCA